GGUCAAUGAUGAAUAGUAAAAGGUCUGACUCCCCAGAUCCCCUCCCUGCAUCCUGACCAUCCCCAGCCGCCUCUCUUCCAACAGGCUCCAGUAGUGCUAUGAUGGGCAAAAGGGCAGCUGACACUCAGUGAUGUCCCCGUUCAGUGUUCCUUGUUGAGCCCAAGGAAGACACAGUGGUUGGCAUCCGACAACUUAGUCACAAAGGGAUUUGAUUGUUGGGAGCGCUGGUAUCUGUGGUUAUGAUCUGACAUUUCAAGCUGAGACC
Non-coding RNA from Cynocephalus volans (Philippine flying lemur), 265 nucleotides. RefSeq annotates it as small Cajal body-specific RNA 6. The transcript has a single exon. The record is from RefSeq and is a predicted model, not a curated record. Lineage: Eukaryota; Metazoa; Chordata; Mammalia; Dermoptera; Cynocephalidae.